Long non-coding RNA from Quercus lobata, 776 nucleotides. RefSeq lists it as uncharacterized. The transcript is spliced from 2 exons. Lineage: Eukaryota; Viridiplantae; Streptophyta; Magnoliopsida; Fagales; Fagaceae. The record is from RefSeq and is a predicted model, not a curated record.
CCAUCAUUUAUAUUCUCUUAUUACUAUUACUUUGAUUUCUUUUGCUGAUUUCAUCACUCUGAUUUUAUUCUUUCACCCCACACUCAUUAUUAUAUCACAGUUACUGAUUCAUGCUUUGUAUUAUAAAGUUACACUAAUGGUUCAGUUAAAGUUGCAUUGGUUCAGUUUUUAGAUGGCCCAUUUCCUUGGUACCAAACUAGCGAAAUUUGCAACAUGACUCCCAAAUGAGCCCGAUAUGUGUGCAUCAUGAUUGUGGCUUCCAAACUUCUGUGAUACAAUGAUUGCAGCCUGCCAAAGCAUAGAAAGAAAUUCAGGAGUUGCGGGGAGGUUCUUGUUUGAAGCUUUGGUGAUGGGAAAGCUUGUGUGCUCGGAAUUAGCAGCUGAAGGUUUGGAUUUUAUGGGACUGCUGGUGGCGUUGGUGAUAGCUAUGACCCUUAUGAUCAUCUGCAGCAGACCUCCAACUCCAAGGCGGGCUGUAAUUGCUUUUCAUCGCUAUGCUUGAGUCCUUGACAAGUGACAACUUUCUUUGUUGAAGAUCCUCGGGCUUGAUGUACUUUUGGUCUGUCUGAAUUUCCCUUCAUAGUUUUUAGUUUUUGGUCUUUAUUUUGGAUAUGAUGACCCUGGUCAAUAGUACACAUAGGGGGUUUUCGUAGUGAUAUGGUUCAUGUUAUGGGUACAAAAAAGUGACUGCAAGUCACUGACUUAUUUGUCUGAUUGCAGAGAAUGUUUUGCUGCAGUGAAUCUUUUAAUAAAAUGAUGAGAGUUUCUUCCUUUUU